Molecule: ribosomal RNA, 497 nt
Filed under: uncultured bacterium
Lineage: Bacteria
Description: partial 16S ribosomal RNA
Rfam family: Bacterial small subunit ribosomal RNA
Source: RNAcentral
GACGAACGCUGGCGGCGUGCCUAAUACAUGCAAGUCGAGCGAACUUUUUCUGAUCUUUCUUCUGUGAUGAUUUCGCCGCACGGGGGUGUAUCACAUGUAUAACCCCUGUCUCAUACUCUGAUAACUUUGUUAAACCGGAUCUCUUAUCCCAUAUAAUUUUGUUCCCUAUGUUUUUAAUGUUUAAGACUUUCUUUUUGUCACUUAUUGAUGUAUCUUCGCUGUAUUAGCUAGUUGGUAUGGUAAAGGCUUACCAAGGCAACGAUGCAUAGCCGACCUGAGAGGGUGAUCGGCCACACUGGAACUGAGACACGGUCCAGACUCCUACGGGAGGCAGCGGUAGGGAAUCUUCCGCAAUGGGCGAAAGCCUGACGGAGCAACGCCGCGUGAGUGAAGAAGGACUUCGGAUCGUAAAACUCUGUUAUUAGGGAAGAACAAAUGUGUAAGUAACAGAGAAAAUAGAGACGGUACCUAAUCAGAAAGCCACGGCUAACUACGUG